GCCUACUAUAGGGGGGAGCUGCCUGCCUGCCCACGCACCUUGGUGGGUCAGGAUGGCGUGCCAUGGGGCUCCCUCCCAGCGCCCCAGCAAGCUUUCCCAAGCAUGCUGGUGCGUUUUUCCAUGGCCAUGUGGGAAAUUCGACCGAGUCAAAAAUAGUCCACGCCGAAUCCAGGUCGUACGUGUCCCGGUUCUGGCUGGUCCAACGGAAAAAUGUGGGCAUCUCGUAGUGAGCUUAUCCGGCACCAUGACACAUUUGGCGUGCAGCAAGUUCUUUGCUUGUUCCUCAAGGUCCAAGUCAAAAAUCUUGAUGCCUUCGUCCCUUUGGUCGAGGUGCCGGUCUGGCAUCACAGUGGGUAGUUGCGGUCAUCCCUCGGACGUGCCGAGGCAUCCAGUGUGACCCGUUCCGCACGGAAGGUUGUGGCGCUAGGUGAAGCCUUCACGGGCAUAUCCUUAGCACGAAGGGGGCAAGUUCCCAAUCAUCCGGAAGUGCACUAUGGGCGGUUCAUCAUGGUCGAAGCCAAGGCGCGGCCGUGUUUGACGCGAUCAGCAACGUCUCUCCAGUCGCCUCGUCCCUCGGAAAAGUGUGCUCUGUUGAGGUGCCGGCCUGGCCUCACAGUGCCGAGAUGGGUAGUUGUGCGCAUCCCUCGGACGCGCCGAGGCUUCUAGUGUGACCCGUUCGGCACGGAAGGAUGUGGGUCUACGCGUUCCCUUCAGUGGCAUAUCCGUAGCACUGAGGGGCAAGUUCCCAAACAUCCGGAAGUGCACUCUGGGCGGUUCAACGCGGUCGAAGCCAAGGCAAGGCCAUGGUUGAAGCAAUCAGCAACGUCUCUCCAGUCGCCUCGUCCCUCGGAAAAGUGUUCUCUGUUGAGGUGCCGGCCUGGCCUCACAGUGCGGAGAUGGGUGGUUGUGCGCAUCCCUUGGACGCGCCGAUGCUUCUAGUGUGACCCGUUCGGCACGGAAGGAUGUGGGUCUACGCGUUCCCUUCAGUGGCAUAUCCGUAGCACUGAGGGGCAAGUUCCCAAACAUCCGGAAGUGCACUCUGGGCGGUUCAGCACGGUCGAAGCCGAGGCAAGGCCAAGGUUGAAGCAAUCAGCAACGUCUCUCCAGUCGCCUCGUCCCUCGGAAAUGUGUGCUCUGUUGAGGUGCCGGCCCGGCCUCACAGUGUCGAGAUGGGUAGUUGUGGGCAUCCCUCGGACGUGCCGAGGCUUCUCGUGUGGACCGUUCUGCACGGAAGGAUGUGGCGCUAGGUGUUGCCUUAAUGGGCAUAGCCGUAGCACGAAGGGGCAAGUGUCCAAGCAUCCGGAAGUGCACUUUUGGCGGUUGAACAUGGUUGAGGCCAUGGCGCGGUAGUGGUUGAGGCCAUCAGCAUCGUCUCUGCAGUCGCCUCGUCCCUCGGAAAUGUGUGCUCUGUUGAGGUGCCGGCCUGGCCUCACAGUGCCGAGAUGGGUAGUUGUGGGCAUCCCUCGGACGUGCCGAGGCUUCUCGUGUGACCCGUUCUGCACGGAAGGAUGUGGCGCUAGGUGUUGCUCUAAUGGGCAUGGCCGUAGCACGAAGGGGCAAGUUUCCAAGCAUCCGGAAGUGCACUUUUGGCGGUUGAACAUGGUUGAGGCCAUGGCGCGUUUGUGGUUGAGGCCAUCAGCAACGUGUCCCCUGUUGCCUGUCCCUCGGAAAAGUGUGCGCUGUUGAGGUGCCUGCCUGGCCUCACAGUGCCGAGAUGGGUUGUUGCGGAUACCUCGGAAUUGUCGUGUGUUCAUGUGUGGCCUGAUCUGCACGG
Molecule: non-coding RNA, 1774 nt
Organism: Lupinus albus (white lupine)
Lineage: Eukaryota; Viridiplantae; Streptophyta; Magnoliopsida; Fabales; Fabaceae
Source: the annotation of a GenBank genome assembly